This 484-nucleotide ribosomal RNA is filed under the name uncultured bacterium. RNAcentral's name for it is "partial 16S ribosomal RNA". It matches the Rfam family "Bacterial small subunit ribosomal RNA", at positions 30 to 507 of the family's 1533-position model. The record is from RNAcentral.
AUUGAACGCUGGCGGCAGGCCUAACACAUGCAAGUCGAGCGGAUGAAGGGAGCUUGCUCCUGGAUUCAGCGGCGGACGGGUGAGUAAUGCCUAGGAAUCUGCCUGGUAGUGGGGGAUAACGUCCGGAAACGGGCGCUAAUACCGCCUACGUCCUGAGGGAGAAAGUGGGGGAUCUUCGGACCUCACGCUAUCAGAUGAGCCUAGGUCGGUGUAGCUAGUUGGUGGGGUAAAGGCCUACCAAGGCGACGAUCCGUAACUGGUCUGAGAGGAUGAUCAGUCACACUGGAACUGAGACACGGUCCAGACUCCUACGGGAGGCAGCAGUGGGGAAUAUUGGACAAUGGGCGAAAGCCUGAUCCAGCCAUGCCGCGUGUGUGAAGAAGGUCUUCGGAUUGUAAAGCACUUUAAGUUGGGAGGAAGGGCAGUAAGUUAAUACCUUGCUGUUUUGACGUUACCAACAGAAUAAGCACCGGCUAACUUCGUG